Molecule: ribosomal RNA, 254 nt
Filed under: uncultured bacterium
Lineage: Bacteria
Description: partial 16S ribosomal RNA
Rfam family: Bacterial small subunit ribosomal RNA
Source: RNAcentral
CUUCCUACGGGAGGCAGCAGUGGGGAAUAUUGGGCAAUGGGCGCAAGCCUGACCCAGCAACGCCGCGUGAAGGAAGAAGGCUUUCGGGUUGUAAACUUCUUUUAAGAGGGACGAAGGAAGUGACGGUACCUCUUGAAUAAGCCACGGCUAACUACGUGCCAGCAGCCGCGGUAAUACGUAGGUGGCAAGCGUUCUCCGGAUUUAUUGGGUGUAAAGGGCGUGUAGGCGGGAGGGCAAGUCAGAUGUGAAAACUC